This 253-nucleotide ribosomal RNA is filed under the name uncultured bacterium. RNAcentral's name for it is "partial 16S ribosomal RNA". It matches the Rfam family "Bacterial small subunit ribosomal RNA", at positions 524 to 776 of the family's 1533-position model. The record is from RNAcentral.
UACGUAGGGUGCGAGCGUUGUCCGGAAUUAUUGGGCGUAAAGGGCUCGUAGGCGGUUUGUCACGUCGGGAGUGAAAACUCGGGGCUUAACCCCGAGCCUGCUUCCGAUACGGGCUGACUAGAGGUAUGCAGGGGAGAACGGAAUUCCUGGUGUAGCGGUGAAAUGCGCAGAUAUCAGGAGGAACACCGGUGGCGAAGGCGGUUCUCUGGACAGUUCCUGACGCUGAGGCACGAAGGCCAGGGGAGCAAACGGG